RNAcentral lists this long non-coding RNA (1447 nucleotides) under Nicotiana benthamiana. RNAcentral's name for it is "long non-coding RNA (NBEN_LNC039685)". Lineage: Eukaryota; Viridiplantae; Streptophyta; Magnoliopsida; Solanales; Solanaceae. The record is from RNAcentral.
CUCACUAACUAAUCCCCAAGAGUUUAUUAAAGAGUAUUACAGCCUGAAAAAAAGAAUACAUCUGAAAAAUGCAAAAAGAAGUACAACUAGGGGAAGCCUGAUUCUGACCUCCUCACUGAGUUAAGAGGUAAACCAACUCCAAGAGAUCAUGAUCCAAAACCUUUCUCCCAUUUGAAUGUGUCAAAGUUGCCUAUGAGCCUCAAUGGGACUCCGGGUAAUGCUCACACCCAAAUGUAUUACUAGAACAAGGACAAGUGUAGUGUGGAAAGGCCAGCCCAUAAGUGUCCAAGUUAAGAGGGAGCUCAAACGGUCCCAAGGCAAGGCUCACAAGAAGGGGAAGAACUUAAACACUAAGAGAGACUGCAAGCAGAAACAAAAUUCUAAAAUGGGGAAAAGAGAGGUAAACAGUUACAAAUAAGUACACAUAAGGGGGUUCUGUGGAAUAGGGAGAUUGUAAAGAGCCUAUUGCUUAUGAAAGGACAAGAUUUAGGCAUGCCCAGCAAUGGAGGAUGCUAGCAUACCCAUAAGCCCGCUAGAACACAUAUUAUUAGAGGCUAGGAUCCUAGAGGAUCAUGUUUGAAUCAUGAACAAUAAUUCGCAGUAUUGCCAUACUUCAAAACAAUAGUUAAAACACAUUAGGGGGCAGGGGUUUGGGAUUCAUAAUAGAACAGGCAGAAAGAAAUCAAUAGUAUUGAACCACACAGAACCAGUAAGCAGACAGAGAUACAAAAGCAACAAAUAAACACCUUGUUGUGGUGCUAAAAAGCUUAAAUCAGGACAUACUAGUUUCAAAGAAGCAAAUAGAGAGAAAGCAAGCAACAUGUCUUGUAAACAGGCCACAAUACAAGCAACAAGAGACAAUACAUUUGAAUGUAAGUGUAAGUUCAGAAGACUACGAGUAAUGGUAGUUUCUGCUAAUGAAAGAGUCCUGUAUUUAUAGUGUGAAAAAUUGGAAGAAAUAGGGUAAGAAAAAAAUUAAGGAACUGGUAUCAAUUAAAAUCAAUUAGUACAAGACUUCCUUUAAUUACUGAAUUUAGACUUAAACGGUAAUGAGCAAGAAAGUUAUUUAAGGAAAGAGAUCAAACAAGCAUCUUGCACAAAGUAGGCAAUUAGGGGUAAAUACAUAGGAGUUUAUUUUGGGGAAGAGUUUGAAAUACACGAUCAAAACAAAAUAAGGUAAAAAUCAAUUAGUACCUAGUAAAUCAGGGGUCAGAGAUUUUGUAAUCACUGGUCCAUGAAUGAAUCAAGUCAUAAAAGCUAAGAAAAGUUUUUGACUCAUAUCGAGUAAUAGGGAAGUCAGCAAAGAAGGAACGAAAUCAAUCAAACUUACACAAAGAAAGUCCGAAAACAAUCUAAAUUGAAAACUAUUUUUAGAGGGAAGUUCAGUACAUAUAAAGAGCGCACAAAUAUGCUAGGCUAAAUUUAGGGCAAAGAAAAAUGUCAUGCC